Molecule: ribosomal RNA, 49 nt
Filed under: Rhizoctonia solani
Lineage: Eukaryota; Fungi; Basidiomycota; Agaricomycetes; Cantharellales; Ceratobasidiaceae
Description: partial 28S ribosomal RNA
Source: RNAcentral
UAGGGACUACCCCGCUGAACUUAAGCAUAUUCAAUAAACCGGAGGGAAA